GCUUAACGCGAAGAACCUUACCCAGACUUGACAUCCUUGGAAGGCCUCCGAAAGGAGACUGUGCCUUCGGGAACCAAGUGACAGGUGUUGCAUGGCCGUCGUCAGCUCGUGUCGUGAGAUGUUUGGUUAAGUCCAUCAACGAGCGCAACCCUUAUAGUUAGUCGAAUUUUUCUAGCUAGACUGCCCUGGCAACAGGGAGGAAGGAGGGGAUGAUGUCAGGUCAGUAUUACCCUUACGUCUGGGGCUACAACACGCUACAAUGGCCGGUACAAAGGGCAGCCAACCCGCGAGGGGGAGCUAAUCCCAUCAAAGCCGGUCUCAGUUCGGAUUGCAGGCUGAAACUCGCCUGCAUGAAGCCGGAAUCGCUAGUAACGGUAAGUCAGCACAUUACCGUGAAUACGUUACCCGGGUCUUGUACACACCGAGUCUUGUACACACCGGGUCUUGUACACAC
This 454-nucleotide ribosomal RNA is filed under the name uncultured bacterium. RNAcentral describes it as "bacterial SSU rRNA". It matches the Rfam family "Bacterial small subunit ribosomal RNA", at positions 954 to 1422 of the family's 1533-position model. The record is from RNAcentral.